Molecule: ribosomal RNA, 452 nt
Filed under: uncultured organism
Description: partial 16S ribosomal RNA
Rfam family: Bacterial small subunit ribosomal RNA
Source: RNAcentral
UACACUCCUGCGGGAGGCAGCAGUGGGGAAUAUUGGACAAUGGGCGUAAGCCUGAUCCAGCCAUGCCGCGUGAGUGAUGAAGGCCCUAGGGUUGUAAAGCUCUUUCACCGGUGAAGAUAAUGACGGUAACCGGAGAAGAAGCCCCGGCUAACUUCGUGCCAGCAGCCGCGGUAAUACGAAGGGGGCUAGCGUUGUUCGGAUUUACUGGGCGUAAAGCGCACGUAGGCGGACUAUUAAGUCAGGGGUGAAAUCCCGGGGCUCAACCCCGGAACUGCCUUUGAUACUGGUAGUCUUGAGUUCGAGAGAGGUGAGUGGAAUUCCGAGUGUAGGGGUGAAAUUCGUAGAUAUUCGGAGGAACACCAGUGGCGAAGGCGGCUCACUGGCUCGAUACUGACGCUGAGGUGCGAAAGCGUGGGGAGCAAACAGGAUUAGAAACCCUGGUAGUCCCAUGA